This 634-nucleotide long non-coding RNA is filed under the name Mytilus galloprovincialis (Mediterranean mussel). The record is from RNAcentral. Lineage: Eukaryota; Metazoa; Mollusca; Bivalvia; Mytilida; Mytilidae.
AUUCAUUAUAGAUAGAGGUAAUUUUAAAUAGCAAGAAUAUUCAGUAAAGUAAGAUCUACAAACAAGUCAUCAUCACCAAAACAGAGAAUCUUGUCGUGAAUUCUAUUCUUGUCUACAAUGCGUGUCUACCUUUUGAUAUGUACAUAGACCAAUGUGAGCGACACAGACUCUUAAGAGCCUCUAGUUAACCCUUUUAAAUAUAAAGUUUCGUUAAAAUCGCUGCAACGUCCUGCAAUAGAAAGUUCAAAUGCAUUUCUAUUUCAUGAAAAUGUCAUAACGUUGUGAUGCACAUUUUCAAUAUGUAUAUGCUUCUUACGUCUCAGAUUUUAAUCUGAUACUAAAUUUCUUUACUAUCUAUGAGUUGAAACAUCGAGAGUGUAUAUGGGAACCAGUAAGUAAACAAAAAGCUAAAUAUCUAUUAAUACCAAGGACCCCGGUAUCUCCCAAAAGUAGGCAUGGUUUGAGAAUCAGCUGUAUUUACAAUGUUCUUCCUAUUAGUACAUUUAAUGAAUUAAAAAACGAUAGAAAACAACUUUUACCACACCGAUACCUAUUUGUCAGAAGCCUUAAAAAAAAUUAAAAGAAUCACUGAAUACACUCUAAUCUUGUUGUAUACAAGUCCAUUUAAUAUCCC